AGAGUUUGAUCCUGGCUCAGGACGAACGCUAGCGGCGUGCUUAAUGAAUGCGAGUCGAGCGAGAACCGAGUGCAUGAAGCCUUCGGGAUGAUUGGGCUCGGGGAGAGCGGCGAACAGGUGAGUAACACGUGGGUAACGUACCCUCCAGACGGGGACAACAGUUGGAAACGGCUGCUAAUACCCGAUGGUCAGAGUCCGACGCAUGUCGGCCUCUGUAAAUGCUCCGGCGCUGGAGGAUUGGCCCGCGGUGGAUUAGCUUGUUGGUGAGGUAACAGCUCACCAAGGCGACGAUCCAUAGCCGGUCUGAGAGGAUGGCCGGUCACACUGGGACUGAGACAUGGUCCAGACUCCUACGGGAGUUAGCAUCAGGGAAUCUUGCCCAAUGAGCGCAAGCUUGAGGCAGCGACGCCGCGUGAGGGACGAAGGCCUGCGGGUCGUAAACCUCUGUCAGGAGGGACGAAACCGCGCUAGUCGCGCUGACGGUACCUCCAAAGGAAGCCCCGGCUAAUUACGUGCCAGCAGCCGCGGUAAGACGUAAGGGGCCAGCGUUGUCCGGAAUUACUGGGCGUAAAGAGCACGUAGGUGGCUUAGCAAGCGGUGGGUGAAAGCCCGCGGCUCAACUGCGGAAUUGCUUGCCGAACUGCUAAGCUUGAGCACGGGAGAGGGCGGUGGAAUUCCUGGUGUAGCGGUGGAAUGCGUCAAUAUCAGGAAGAACACCGGUGGCGAAGGCUGCUGCCUGGAACGUUGCUGACGCUGAGGUGCGAAAGCUAGGGGAGCGAACGGGAUUAGAUACCCCGGUAGUCCUAGCCGUAAACGAUGGGUGCUAGGUGUUGGAGGCUUCGACCCCUCCAGUGCUGUUAAGCUAACGCGUUAAGCACCCCGCCUGGGGAGUACGGCCGCAAGGUUGAAACUCAAAGGAAUUGACGGGGGCCCGCACAAGCGGUGGAGCAUGCGGGUUAAUCGGAUGAUACGCCGAGAACCUUACCAGGGCUUGACAUGGUCUCGACCGCCUACGAAAGUAGGUUUCCUGAGCAAUCAGGCGGGAUCACAGGUGGUGCAUGGUUGUCGUCAGCUCGUGCCGUGAGGUGUUGGGUUAAGUCCCGCAACGAGCGCAACCCUCACCGGAUGUUGCCAGCGGUUAGGCCGGGCACUCUUCCGGGACUGCCCGAGCAAUCGGGAGGAAGGAGAGGAUGACGUCAAAUCGGCAUGCCCCUUACGCCCUGGGCUGCACGCGUGCUACAAUGGCGGGUACAAAGGGUCGCUAAGCCGCGAGGUGGAGCUAAUCCCCCAAAACCCGUCUCAGUUCGGAUCGGAUGUCUGCAACUCGACUCCGUGAAGCUGGAAUCGCUAGUAACCGUGGAUCAGCAAUGCCACGGUGAAUACGUUCCCGGGCCUUGUACACACCGCCCGUCAAGUCACGAAAGUUGGCAGCACCCGAAGUCCGCUACGGCGGCCGAAGGUGAGGUCAGUGAUUGGGACUAAGUCGUAACAAGGUA
RNAcentral lists this ribosomal RNA (1496 nucleotides) under metagenome. RNAcentral's name for it is "bacterial SSU rRNA". It matches the Rfam family "Bacterial small subunit ribosomal RNA". The record is from RNAcentral.